Molecule: ribosomal RNA, 429 nt
Filed under: Gemmatimonadota bacterium
Lineage: Bacteria; Pseudomonadati; Gemmatimonadota
Description: Gemmatimonadetes bacterium partial 16S ribosomal RNA
Rfam family: Bacterial small subunit ribosomal RNA
Source: RNAcentral
UAGGGAAUCUUCGGCAAUGGACGAAAGUCUGACCGAGCAACGCCGCGUGAGUGAAGAAGGUUUUCGGAUCGAAAAACUCUGUUGUUAGAGAAGAACAAGGACGUUAGUAACUGAACGUCCCCUGACGGUAUCUAACCAGAAAGCCACGGCUAACUACGUGCCAGCAGCCGCGGUAAUACGUAGGUGGCAAGCGUUGUCCGGAUUUAUUGGGCGUAAAGCGAGCGCAGGCGGUUUCUUAAGUCUGAUGUGAAAGCCCCCGGCUCAACCGGGGAGGGUCAUUGGAAACUGGGAGACUUGAGUGCAGAAGAGGAGAGUGGAAUUCCAUGUGUAGCGGUGAAAUGCGUAGAUAUAUGGAGGAACACCAGUGGCGAAGGCGGCUCUCUGGUCUGUAACUGACGCUGAGGCUCGAAAGCGUGGGGAGCAAACAGG